UGGGGAAUUUUCUGCAAUGGGCGAAAGCCUGACAGAGCAAUACCGCGUGAGGGAUGAAGGCCCGUGGGUCGUAAACCUCUUUUUUCAAGGAGGAAGUUCUGACGUGUACUUGAAGAAUAAGCAUCGGCUAACUCCGUGCCAGCAGCCGCGGUAAGACGGAGGAUGCGAGUGUUAUCCGGAAUUACUGGGCGUAAAGCGUCUGUAGGUGGUUUAGUAAGUCGAUUGUUAAAGCUUGGGGCUUAACUCCAAAACAGCAAUGGAAACUGCUAGACUUGAGUAUGGUAGAGGUAAAAGGAAUUUCCAGUGGAGCGGUGAAAUGCGUAGAUAUUGGAAAGAACACCGAUGGCGAAGGCAUUUUACUGGGCCAUAACUGACACUCAGAGACGAAAGCUAGGGUAGCAAAUGGG
RNAcentral lists this ribosomal RNA (407 nucleotides) under uncultured bacterium. RNAcentral's name for it is "bacterial SSU rRNA". It matches the Rfam family "Bacterial small subunit ribosomal RNA", at positions 355 to 776 of the family's 1533-position model. The record is from RNAcentral.